CAGCCGCCACGGUAAUACGAAGGGUGCAAGCGUUACUCGGAAUUACUGGGCGUAAAGCGUGCGUAGGUGGUGGUUUAAGUCCGUUGUGAAAGCCCUGGGCUCAACCUGGGAAUUGCAGUGGAUACUGGGUCACUAGAGUGUGGUAGAGGAUAGUGGAAUUUCCGGUGUAGCAGUGAAAUGCGUAGAGAUCGGAAGGAACAUCUGUGGCGAAGGCGACUAUCUGGGCCAACACUGACACUGAGGCACGAAAGCGUGGGGAGCAAACAGGAUUAGAUACCCGUGUAGUCCCUGUCUCUUAUAA
This 301-nucleotide ribosomal RNA is filed under the name uncultured bacterium. RNAcentral's name for it is "partial 16S ribosomal RNA". It matches the Rfam family "Bacterial small subunit ribosomal RNA", at positions 509 to 809 of the family's 1533-position model. The record is from RNAcentral.